UACGUAGGGGGCUAGCGUUAUCCGGAAUUACUGGGCGUAAAGGGUGCGUAGGUGGUUUCUUAAGUCAGAGGUGAAAGGCUACGGCUCAACCGUAGUAAGCCUUUGAAACUGGGAAACUUGAGUGCAGGAGAGGGGAGUGGAAUUCCUAGUGUAGCGGUGAAAUGCGUAGAUAUUAGGAGGAACACCAGUUGCGAAGGCGGCUCUCUGGACUGUAACUGACACUGAGGCACGAAAGCGUGGGGAGCAAACAGG
Molecule: ribosomal RNA, 252 nt
Filed under: uncultured bacterium
Lineage: Bacteria
Description: partial 16S ribosomal RNA
Rfam family: Bacterial small subunit ribosomal RNA
Source: RNAcentral